AUUUCCACCAAAGCGGAGCGGAGAAGAGCGCAGCUGUGCUGAGACGAGAGGAGAUGCGUGAGCUGUGCGUAGCUGUUAGCUGUCAGUCUAUUGCUAUCUAUGAAAUACCGCACCGCUCCGCACAACUCCACACCGCACCGCAAGGCAGCGUCAAAUUCUAUAGAAAAUCAAGUGCACCUGAUUCUUCUCCUUUUGAUUCAUUUCCAUCGAAGCGGAGGGGAGUGAAGAUGUGCAAAUAAGGGAAUCUGAUUGGAUUCAAAAAACUUCUCUGCUCCACUCCGCCUUAGUGUAAACCGGGCCUUAGAGGAUGAACAAGAGGUGGCAUUUUGAGCAUUCAUGCUCUUUCAAUAUUCUUUAUUACUUUAGCGUAUGUGAAGGUACAUAGAAGGUUAGUUCAAUGUCGAAAUUCAACUUUCAAAGAUGGUACGGAACUCUGUUUUAAUUUUCUUUUGUUCGGUUUAUACGUAAAAUUAUUUACAG
Ostrinia furnacalis (Asian corn borer) is the source of this 480-nucleotide long non-coding RNA. RefSeq lists it as uncharacterized. The record is from RefSeq and is a predicted model, not a curated record. Lineage: Eukaryota; Metazoa; Arthropoda; Insecta; Lepidoptera; Crambidae. The transcript is spliced from 2 exons.